RNAcentral lists this ribosomal RNA (1207 nucleotides) under metagenome. Its description in RNAcentral is "bacterial SSU rRNA". It matches the Rfam family "Bacterial small subunit ribosomal RNA", at positions 261 to 1477 of the family's 1533-position model. The record is from RNAcentral.
CGGCUCACCAAGGCGACGAUGUCUAGGGGUUCUGAGAGGAUUCACCCCCACACUGGUACUGAGACACGGACCAGACUCCUACGGGAGGCAGCAGUAAGGAAUAUUGGUCAAUGGACGCAAGUCUGAACCAGCCAUGCCGCGUGAAGGAUGACGGCCCUACGGGUUGUAAACUUCUUUUGUACGGGAAAAAAUCCCUGGUCGUGAACCGGGGUUGAUGGUACCGUAAGAAUAAGCAUCGGCUAACUCCGUGCCAGCAGCCGCGGUAAUACGGAGGAUGCAAGCGUUAUCCGGAUUCAUUGGGUUUAAAGGGUGCGCAGGCGGAAUGAUAAGUCAGUGGUGAAAUCCUACAGCUUAACUGUAGAACUGCCAUUGAUACUAUUGUUCUUGAGUACAUUUGAAGUGGGCGGAAUGUGUCAUGUAGCGGUGAAAUACUUAGAUAUGACACAGAACACCGAUCGCGAAGGCAGCUCACUAAGUUGUAACUGACGCUCAUGCACGAAAGCGUGGGGAUCAAACAGGAUUAGAUACCCUGGUAGUCCACGCCGUAAACGAUGAUUACUCGAUGUUGGCGAUACACAGUCAGCGUCUAAGCGAAAGCAUUAAGUAAUCCACCUGGGGAGUACGGCCGCAAGGUUGAAACUCAAAGGAAUUGACGGGGGCCCGCACAAGCGGAGGAGCAUGUGGUUUAAUUCGAUGAUACGCGAGGAACCUUACCUGGGCUAGAACGCAAGAUGACAGUUCGAGAAAUCGGAUCUUCCUUCGGGACAUUUUGCGAGGUGCUGCAUGGUUGUCGUCAGCUCGUGCCGUGAGGUGUCGGGUUAAGUCCCAUAACGAGCGCAACCCCUAUCAUUAGUUGCCAUCAGGUCAUGCUGGGGACUCUAGUGAAACUGCCUACGCAAGUAGUGAGGAAGGCGGGGAUGACGUCAAAUCAGCACGGCCCUUACGUCCAGGGCUACACACGUGCUACAAUGGCCGAUACAGAGGGUCGCUACCUGGUGACAGGAUGCCAAUCUCCAAAAUCGGUCUCAGUUCGGAUCGAAGUCUGCAACUCGACUUCGUGAAGUUGGAUUCGCUAGUAAUCGUAUAUCAGCAAUGAUACGGUGAAUACGUUCCCGGGCCUUGUACACACAGCCCGUCAAGCCAUGGGAGCUGGGGGUACCUAAAGUGCGUGACCGCAAGGAGCGCCCUAGGGUAAAACCAGUGACUG